GGGGAUUUAGCUCAGUGGUAGAGCACUUGCCUAGCAGGUGCAAGGCCCUGGGUUCAGUCCCCA
RNAcentral lists this transfer RNA (63 nucleotides) under Rattus norvegicus (Norway rat). It matches the Rfam family "tRNA". From Rfam's summary of the family: Transfer RNA (tRNA) molecules are approximately 80 nucleotides in length. Their secondary structure includes four short double-helical elements and three loops (D, anti-codon, and T loops). Lineage: Eukaryota; Metazoa; Chordata; Mammalia; Rodentia; Muridae. The record is from Rfam by way of RNAcentral.